This 626-nucleotide ribosomal RNA is filed under the name Trochulus hispidus complex sp. 476 LK-2014. RNAcentral describes it as "partial 12S ribosomal RNA". The record is from RNAcentral. Lineage: Eukaryota; Metazoa; Mollusca; Gastropoda; Stylommatophora; Hygromiidae.
GAUUUUGUUACGGUCUUUUAUUUGCGGAACGGUUUUUAACCAUGGAAUUUAUAGAUAAUCCAGUUACGAAAUUUUGGAAUGUUGAGAAAUCAAGCACAAGAAAACGUUUUACAUAAGGCCAAGCUAGUGCCAGCAGCCGCGGUCAUACUAGCCUAAGGAGUAAAUAAUAUAAGUGAAUGCAAACGGAUAUUAAUAUAUUACUAUGGUAAAAUAUGUUCUAUAAAGUUUACUAACAUAAGUUUAAUUAAACAACAAAUACGGAGACAAACAAGGAUUAGAUACCCUUCUAUGUGGUACGAGAAAAUAUUCACUGGGUAUUAAAGUACCUACCCAAACUCAAAUAACAUGGCGGUAAUUUUUAAGCUUAGGGGAACUUACCUAAUAAAUGAUAACCACCAAGCGUAGCUACUAUAAGUCAGAUUUUGUAUGCCGUCGUCUAGAUUAAAUAUUAUAUUUAAUCCCAAGUUAUUUUUAACCUAUGACAGAUCUUGGUGCAGACCAUCUUAUAGAUAGGGCGAGUUACAAUAAUAACUUAUUUCUAUCGGUCGAUUUAAUAAAUCUAAAUAGUUGGACUUAAUAGUAAGGUUUAUAUUAUAAAUACUAACUGAAUUUAAAAGAAAUUGUGC